RNAcentral lists this ribosomal RNA (969 nucleotides) under Triticum aestivum (bread wheat). RNAcentral describes it as "partial small subunit ribosomal RNA". The record is from RNAcentral. Lineage: Eukaryota; Viridiplantae; Streptophyta; Magnoliopsida; Poales; Poaceae.
AUGGCUUGCUACCCCUGCAACCCUCUCCCCCACCUUCCUCCGGGCACCACCAUCACCCCUGGCCCUCUCCGUGCUCGUCAUGGCUACGUUGUUCUGCGAGGAGAACUCCCCAUGGUGUGCAAUGAAUGGGCUAUCGCCACCUUGGUCCCGGAUGUAUCUGCAGAGGAGUUUCACGGCGCCAUUACUCUGAUCACCACCUUCCUCGAAGGUCGCGGAUGGCGCAUUAACUACUUAUCUCACUGUGGUAUGGGUACGACUCUCAUCCAAUUCACUACUGCCUGCUCUAGAGAUACGGUUGUCAGUCAUAGCCCAUUUCAGAUCGGUGACUCUGUUUUGAGGAUUACUAGGUAGGAUAGAGGUUUGAACUAUCGUAGCAUUACCUUUACUUGUGAUAUUUGGAUCUUCAUGAUGAACUAUCCACUUGAAUGCUGGGAUGUUGGGGUUGUCAGUCACACAGUUUCUCCCUAUGGUAGAUUUCUAAUCUGGAACAAAGAUCCUAGGGAUAAAACUAGAAUUAUCGUGAAGCUCAGAGUCAUUAAUGUUGACACUAUUCGUAUCAGUACUGUUGUGCUUCGUAAUCUUGAUGAUGUUGGCUAUGCGGAUUCCUGUACUUGCCCUACAUAUAUUCUGUCUAGUGAGUUGAUUGGCCAGCAAGGUGGUGAUGAGGAUCCACUCCCACCGGAUGGUGGUAAUCCACACCCACUGCCUCAUGUACAUGGAGGGUUUUGGCAUGAUGAAGUGCUGGGCAAUAUCCCCAUGGACCAAGUUGUUAUUAAUCUUCACAAUGAAAACCUAGGAGCACCAUAUGAGGAUGUACAUGCUGUCAACAAUAACAACUAUGAUAAUCAUGAGGCAGAGUCUGAUGAGCAAACUGAGCAGGUACAUGUUGGUGAUGAUACAAUUACUGUUCCUAUGGCCAAUGUGGUUUUGAACAAUUCAGCUGGCCUGAAUGAGGUUGCUAUGGAGUAG